AAAAAUAUUCUGAGAAAGUGUCCAGGGGCCUCACAGACUGCCAAAGAGAUCCCAUCGUACAGAAAAGGUUAAGAACCCCUAGCCUAGGGAAGGAUUCUAGACAAGGAAAACUCGGAAAAAGGCUAAGAGGAGAGAAAAUACAGGCGGGGCAAGUAUUCCAUUUUGACUGAAAUGUGAGGAGAUAAUGGAAGAGGAAAAAGAAAGAAGGCUGAACUUGAUCAUCAGAGCUGAACUUUGUUUUCAGCAGACACUGGGGAGCUACUUAAUCAGGAUUUUUUAAAAGAGGGGCAAGGAUCAGAGCAGGAGAAACCCAAUCAAAUGAGAGUUUUUAAAUCAUUGCCCAGUAAAGGUAAGAAGGAUGGACUGGAAUACAAAGAAACAGAAGGGGCGAGACUAAAUUUCAAAUCCAGGCUUGAUUAACAAAAGCCCCAAGUGAAGAGGGUAACAAUGAAAGUGGAAAAAAGGAGCUGAAUACGAGAGCACUCCAGCGCUCGGAAGGUUGAACACUGAGUAUGACAGAGAGAGGAACCAGAGACAACUCCCCGGCGUUUCAAGUGAGGGUCACUGGAACAGCAGUCAUUCCAAGAAAAAUUCAGGGGAGCCAGGCAGAACAAGGUGGGCGAGGAAAGCGCUGAGUUGCCUACAGGAAGUCCAGGUGAAAACAUUCAGUGUUUAUUGACGGCCGCUGAUAACCAAGACCUGCUGCAUCUCCUGACAGCUUAUUUCGACUUCAGCAGGAGCUUUUCCCCGACAGAGAUUUUUAUUCUGGGGGCGCAUGACCCCACAGGGUUUCCACGAAGCCUUGAAAUUAUAAAAGCAAAUUUUGCUUGUGGUCAUGGACAUUUUUCUGGGAGGAAGUGUGUACUUUCAAUACAAACUCAAAGGGCAUGUGGCCCUCUUUCCCCUCCAAAAACGGAAGAUUAGCCCUGAGCGCCUUCACCACCAAUCCUCCUCUUUUUGCUGAGGAAGACUGGCCCUGAGUUAACACCUGUACCCAUCUUCCUCUACUUUAUAUGUGGGGCGCCUGCCACAGCAUGGCUUGACAAGCGGUGCCAUGUCCACACCCAAGAUCCACACUGGGGAUCGGAACCAGCAAAUCCUGGUCCUAGAAGCAGAGCACGGCAACCCAACUGCUAUGCCACCAGGAGGGCCACUAAUAUAGUGCAUUUUUGACACUCACUAAGUAUUUGUUAACUCCAGAUAAUUAAGACAAAGGAUGCUUUCAAUUUGAUGUAUAUGAAGUGACAACGAAUAAGCAGAAGAGGCCAAGAUACCAGGAAAUUUAAAAGCUGUGCCCACAGAAUGGAUCAGGGAAAUAAAUUAAAGCCUUGAAAUUCAGAGGGUUUUUUUUUUUCAUUAAAACUAAUUACCUUUAUUAGGUAAUGUGUGGAAAGCGGUUUUCAUGGUAAGCUUAAUAAACAUACAUGUAUUUGUUGGAUAGAUCUCAGUAAAGCUGGAAAAUAACAGAAGACAAAUUACAUUUGGCCUUUCUUUCUAUUAUCCCCUUCCUAUGUAAUCAGCAUAUACGCACGAGGAAUGUAACUCAUCAUCACCAUCUGAUGAGUCAGCAAGCCCUGGUCAGGUGCACGGUUAGAGAUCUUUGCUGAUACGAAAGGACACAUGGCUGUUCCCCUCCUCCUAUAACUUAAAGAACAGAAGGAGAAAGAAAGAAAAUAUUGCUCACGCUAACAUGCAACUUAGAAGUCAACUGUCGUUUUUCCCUCCUUUGAAGUCCUUCCCCUUUCUCACCCCUCAAAAGAAAUCUCCAGAAGCUACCUAAAGGUUUCAUGGAGGAGAGAAGUUUACACCGCCACCUCUCAACUAACCGCAUGAAAGACCUCCCCUCGGGCGUUUUCCCCCUGCUUUGCAGGGUGCACCUGAGGGUCUAAUUCUGUUCGGCAGCAGGGCUCCUCUCUGUUGCUGUAUCCAGCAAGCCCCUCUCUCCCGUCCCCCAAACACCCCCGUCUUCCUCCAGGGAAGCAAAAGGAAAACCCUGCAGGUAACCAGACCAACUCCACUCCAACGAUCUCCUCAAAGUAUUUCUUCCAAACAUUUAACACUUUCCCCACGAAGAAUUUUAUUAUCAGCAGCUGAGUGGUUGACGAUUUUUCCAUAUUGUUACAAUUCUCACUUGUAGGUAGUUGAAAUUUGCAAAUCUAUACAAUCUUUUUUGAAGCUGGGUGUCUCUGGCUGUAGAUCCCACUUCACUGGAAGAUAGUUCCCUGAGGACACAGACAAGAAACUUCUCUUCCUUCCCUCAGUAUCAUCUAUCCCUAAUUUAAAAAGUAAGCAAGACUGCAGGGGCUCAAC
Equus asinus (donkey) is the source of this 2310-nucleotide long non-coding RNA. The record is from Ensembl. NCBI's taxonomy places the organism in Eukaryota, Metazoa, Chordata, Mammalia, Perissodactyla, Equidae.